RNAcentral lists this ribosomal RNA (399 nucleotides) under uncultured bacterium. Its description in RNAcentral is "partial 16S ribosomal RNA". It matches the Rfam family "Bacterial small subunit ribosomal RNA", at positions 360 to 774 of the family's 1533-position model. The record is from RNAcentral.
AAUAUUGCGCAAUGGGGGGAACCCUGACGCAGCAACGCCGCGUGAGUGACGAAGGUUUUCGGAUCGUAAAGCUCUGUCAUCGGGGACGAAGAAGUGACGGUACCCGAGGAGGAAGCCCCGGCUAACUACGUGCCAGCAGCCGCGGUAAGACGUAGGGGGCGAGCGUUGUCCGGAAUUACGGGGCGUAAAGGGUGCGUAGGCGGCCAAUUAAGUCAGGUGUGAAAUACCACGGCUUAACCGUGGGACUGCAUUUGAAACUGGAGGGCUUGAGUAUCGGAGAGGGUAGUGGAAUUCCCAGUGUAGCGGUGGAAUGCGUAGAUAUUGGGAGGAACACCAGUGGCGAAGGCGACUACCUGGACGAAAACUGACGCUGAGGCACGAAAGCUAGGGGAGCAAACA